CCCAUUUAUCAACUGAGAGACAUUUGACUGAUAGGAGGACAUGUUUAUUUAUGUAUCAAGGUUUUGUAUGUUUAGUUCUGUUAGAUAUAUAGCUAGGAUCAUGUAGCUGAUCACAUGAUAAAUUCCAUGUUUAACUUUUUGAGAACUCCAAACUGUUUUCCAAAUUCAUUGUAAUGUUUUUACUCUUAGUGACUCAACUUUGUCUUAUCUAUGAAAAGAAAGGAUUCAGUAACAGUUUUGCAGGGAGGAAAGUUUGAGGUAGAAUGCACAGGUUCUAGGCCAAAAUGCUUUCUCUUAUUGUAUUCUACAUAUCUUGUAUAAUGUUUUCCCUAGAAAUUCGAGGGAAGCAAAAUUAGUAUAAUCAAGAAAAAUUUAGAAUUCAAUAAAAUAAAAAUGAUUCAAAAUUGAGCAUGUUUAUCACUUUUAUAAUAUAAGAUUAGUAGCUGAAUACAUUUUAUUUUAUUUUUAGAUUUUCAAAAAGUUUUAUCUGUAUGGGUGUUUUGUCUGCAUAUGUAUCUUUAACCUGUUUGGAUAAUGCUCUUUCCUUAUAGAGAAGCUGGCGGAAGCUCAGCGCAGGUUUGCUACACUUCAGAAUGAGCUUCAGUCAUCACUGGAUGCGCAGAAAGAAAGCACUGGUGUCACAACAUUGCGGCAACGCAGGAAGCCAGUGUUCCACCUGUCCCAUGAGGAGCGUGUCCAACAUAGGAAUAUUAAAGACCUUAAGCUGGCCUUCAGCGAGUUCUACCUCAGUCUCAUCCUGCUGCAGAACUAUCAGGUGCUUAGUCUUCCCCACAGAAUGGCUUUGUGAAAUAAGACUCCAGGAAGGAGAAUUACCUUGGUGUAUACCAAAUCCCCUAAAGACUGAAAUCAUCUUUAUUCUUGAGGUUCUUGGAAUUUAGAUAUUUUUGUGGAAAAAAAAAAA
This 922-nucleotide long non-coding RNA is filed under the name Rattus norvegicus (Norway rat). RNAcentral's name for it is "long non-coding RNA NONRATT008840". Lineage: Eukaryota; Metazoa; Chordata; Mammalia; Rodentia; Muridae. The record is from RNAcentral.